CCUACGGGUGGCAGCAGUGGGGAAUAUUGGACAAUGGGCGAAAGCCUGAUCCAGCCAUGCCGCGUGUGUGAAGAAGGCCUUCGGGUUGUAAAGCACUUUCAGUGGGGAAGAAAGCCUUGGGGCUAAUACCCUCGAGGAAGGACAUCACCCACAGAAGAAGCACCGGCUAACUCCGUGCCAGCAGCCGCGGUAAUACGGAGGGUGCGAGCGUUAAUCGGAAUUACUGGGCGUAAAGCGCGCGUAGGCGGUCUGAUAAGCCGGUUGUGAAAGCCCCGGGCUCAACCUGGGAACGGCAUCCGGAACUGUCAGGCUAGAGUGCAGGAGAGGAAGGUAGAAUUCCCGGUGUAGCGGUGAAAUGCGUAGAGAUCGGGAGGAAUACCAGUGGCGAAGGCGGCCUUCUGGACUGACACUGACGCUGAGGUGCGAAAGCGUGGGUAGCAAACAGGAUUAGAUACCCUAGAGUC
RNAcentral lists this ribosomal RNA (464 nucleotides) under Vreelandella stevensii. Its description in RNAcentral is "partial 16S ribosomal RNA". It matches the Rfam family "Bacterial small subunit ribosomal RNA", at positions 338 to 795 of the family's 1533-position model. The record is from RNAcentral. Lineage: Bacteria; Pseudomonadati; Pseudomonadota; Gammaproteobacteria; Oceanospirillales; Halomonadaceae.